This 440-nucleotide ribosomal RNA is filed under the name uncultured bacterium. RNAcentral describes it as "bacterial SSU rRNA". It matches the Rfam family "Bacterial small subunit ribosomal RNA", at positions 338 to 795 of the family's 1533-position model. The record is from RNAcentral.
CCUACGGGAGGCAGCGGUGGGGAAUAUUGCACAAUGGGGGAAACUCUGAUGCAGCAACGCCGCGUGAGCGAUGAAGGCCUUCGGGUCGUAAAGCUCUGUCCUAAGGGAAGUAUACUGACGGUACCCUAGGAGGAAGCACUGGCUACCUACGUGCGAGCAGCCGCGGUAAUACGUAGGGGGCUAGAGGUAUCCGGAAUUACGGGGAGUAAAGGGUUCAGAGGCGGCGCUUCACGUCAGAGGUGAAAGGCCACGGAUCAACCGUAGUAAGCCUUUGCAACUGUAGGGUUUGAGUGAAGGAGUGGAUAGUGGAAUUACCAGUGUCGCGGUGAAAAGCGUAGAUAUUGGGAGGAACACCAGUUGCGAAGGCGGCUCUCUGGACUGUAACUGACGCUGAGGCACGAAAACGUGGGGACCGAACAAGAUUAGAAACCCCGGUAGUC